GAUGAAGAACGCAGCGAAAUGCGAUAAGUAGUGUGAAUUGCAGAAUUCAGUGAAUCAUCGAAUCUUUGAACGCACAUUGCGCCCCUUGGUAUUCCAUGGGGCAUGCCUGUUCGAGCGUCAUUUGUACCCUCAAGCUUUGCUUGGUGUUGGGCGUCUUGUCGUAUUACGACUCGCCUUAAAUACAUUGGCAGCCGGCACUUUGGCCUAGGAGCGCAGCACAUUUUGCGAUCGUAGCCCGUUGUACUGGCGUCCAUCAAGAACAUUUACCACGUUUGACCUCGGAUCAGGUAGGGAUACCCGCUGAACUUAAGCAUAUCAAUAAGGGAGGA
Molecule: unclassified non-coding RNA, 329 nt
Filed under: soil metagenome
Description: partial contains 5.8S ribosomal RNA, internal transcribed spacer 2, and large subunit ribosomal RNA
Rfam family: 5.8S ribosomal RNA (bases 1-120)
Source: RNAcentral